AGGCAGCAGUUAGGAAUAUUCCGCAAUGGACGAAAGUCUGACGGAGCGACGCCGCGUGGAUGAAGAAGGCCGAAAGGUUGUAAAGUUCUUUUGUUGGGGAAGAAUAACCAUGGGAGGGAAUGCCCGUGGGAUGACAUGAACCGACGAAUAAGCCCCGGCUAACUACGUGCCAGCAGCCGCGGUAACACGUAGGGGGCGAGCGUUGUUCGGAAUUACUGGGCGUAAAGGGCAUGUAGGCGGUCUUGUAAGCUUGGCGUGAAAGACCACGGCUCAACCGUGGGAUUGCGUUGAGAACUGCGAGGCUUGAGUGACGGAGAGGGAGCUAGAAUUCCUGGUGUAGGGGUGGAAUCUGUAGAGAUCAGGAAGAAUACCAAUGGCGAAGGCAAGCUCCUGGCCGAUGACUGACGCUGAGGUGCGAAAGUGUGGGGAUCAAACAGGAUUAGAUACCCCGGUAG
RNAcentral lists this ribosomal RNA (455 nucleotides) under uncultured bacterium. RNAcentral's name for it is "bacterial SSU rRNA". It matches the Rfam family "Bacterial small subunit ribosomal RNA", at positions 346 to 793 of the family's 1533-position model. The record is from RNAcentral.